This is a long non-coding RNA of Oncorhynchus tshawytscha (Chinook salmon), 703 nucleotides long. Lineage: Eukaryota; Metazoa; Chordata; Actinopteri; Salmoniformes; Salmonidae. The record is from Ensembl.
GGGUGUAGGAGACAGUGAGGAUGGAGAGUGUGUAGGAGACAAUGAGGAUGGAGAGGGUGUAGGAGACAGUGAGACUGGAGAGGGUGUAGGAGACAGUGAGACUGGAGUGAUUGUAGGAGACAGUGAGGUUGGAGAGGAUGUAGGAGUCCGUGAGGAUGGAGAGGGUGUAGGAGACGGUGAGGAUGGAGAGGGUGUAGGAGACAGUGAGGUUGGAGAGGGUGUAGGAGACAGUGAGACUGGAGAGGGUGUAGGAGACAGUGAGACUGGAGAGGGUGUAGGAGACAGUGAGUCUGGAGAGGGUGUAGGAGACAGUAAGAAUGGAGAGUGUGUAGGAGACAGUGAGGAUGGAGAAGGUGUAGGAGACAGUGAGGAUGGAGAGGGUGUUGUAGACAGUUAGACUGGAGUGAUUGUAGGAGACAAUGAGGUUGGAGAGGAUGUAGGAGUCCGUGAGGAUGGAGAGGGUGUAGGAGACAGUGAGGAUGGAGAGGGUGUAGGAGACAGUGAGGAUGGAGAGGGUGUAGGAGACAGUGAGGAUGGAGAGGGUGUAGGAGACAGUGAGGAUGGAGAGGGUGUAGGAGACAGUGAGGAUGGAGAGGGUGUAGGAGACAGUGAGGAUGGAGAGGGUGUAGGAGACAGUGAGGCUGGAGAGGGUGUAGGAGACAGUGAGGCUGAGAGGGUGUAGGAGACAGUGAGGCAUGGAGAG